This 128-nucleotide non-coding RNA is filed under the name Symbiodinium sp. CCMP2430. Lineage: Eukaryota; Dinophyceae; Suessiales; Symbiodiniaceae. The record is from RNAcentral.
AACAUAAGCGAAAGGAACAAAAAGAGGAGUGAGGAAUGGGUGGUUAUUGUGUUGUUGUAGUGAAGGAAACAAAGAGGUAAUGCAGUGGAAUGGAAGCACGCUCUUGUUUCGCUUCACUACACCACACA